Molecule: unclassified non-coding RNA, 1098 nt
Filed under: Bombus terrestris (buff-tailed bumblebee)
Lineage: Eukaryota; Metazoa; Arthropoda; Insecta; Hymenoptera; Apidae
Description: misc RNA ENSBTSG00005020866.1
Source: RNAcentral
GCACUGAGACAUCAAAGAAUAUAAUCGCGGAGGACAAUGAUUCGGUAACGCAAGUCUUUCUCCGUUCUCUAAUUUACGAAUCACUUCGUUAUUUUUUACACCUUGGAACGGUUUUACACCUAACAUUAAAAUUUCCCACAUGCAUACACCUGAAGAAGCAAAAAGAAAAGAUUUUACAUUACUAUCAAGUAUGGAAAAGAACAUCAGUUUUUAUCUUAAAACACCUACCAAACAUCCAAACGUCAGACGACGUUGUAAAUCUUCGAAAAUUAAUACUCUCCGGUGCCAUCCAUUUAAUAGGCUUCUUCGAGAAAUUUUUCCGAAGUUGCAAGAUCUGCAUCGACUUUACAGGUUUUAACUGCUACAGGUAUUACUUGAUUGUCCCGUCCUUUAUAAGAACCUUUAUGUACAUUGCCAAACUGGCCCUCUCCAAUGAUUUCACCUAGUUCCACUUGAUUCCUGACUAUCUCAUAAUCUCUAGCUAAAAUUAUUAAAAUUAUUAACAAUCAAAGUUUAAUAUUCCUUUGGGUGUAAAAGGCAGGUAGUAUGAUAAACUUGUUUUUUUUUUUUUUUUUUUUUAAAUUACACUCACUAGCUGGCGUUGAAUAGUCUCCUUCUUCGUCUACGAUUUCUGCGUAGUCCUCUGAUAAAAUUGUUCCCGUUUUGCUUACGUUUUUCUCCGGACUAUUGGAUCCCUCUUGUCUGUACUUUGGUGGAUGAGCAUCUAUUUUGAAGUCAAGAAUAUAAUCAAUAAUCGUGAAUAUAUCAAUCGUGGUUCUCAUGCAAGCACUCUAAACGAGACAGUAAACUACAACUCGGGAUCAUUCAAAACUACAAACCUUUGCAUGGACAGGGAUAGUUUUUCCACGAUGCAGCUUGGAAGUGUAAACGAUUAUAACUUAGUAUCUUUUAUGUAACGUAAAAGGGAUUCGUGCGAGAUAUUUGGGGUAUAGUAUAUGAUUUCAUUAUAAAAAUACAAUGAAACUAAACGUUCUGUGACAUUUAUAAAUAAAAUAAAUUUCUAUAGUUUUUUGAACAUUAUCACGAAUACCGAUAAAAAUUAAAGGAAAUGUUCAUUGCCUCAAUAUCGAGAUUGUU